This 347-nucleotide unclassified non-coding RNA is filed under the name soil metagenome. Its description in RNAcentral is "partial contains 5.8S ribosomal RNA, internal transcribed spacer 2, and large subunit ribosomal RNA". The stretch from base 1 to 120 matches the Rfam family "5.8S ribosomal RNA", at positions 35 to 154 of the family's 154-position model. The record is from RNAcentral.
GAUGAAGAACGCAGUGAAAUGCGAUAAUUAUUGUGAAUUGCAGAAUUCAGUGAAUCAUCGAGUCUUUGAACGCACAUUGCGCCCCCUGGUAUUCCGGGGGGCAUGCCUGUCCGAGCGUCAUUGCUGCCCUCAAGCACGGCUUGUGUGUUGGGCUUCCGUCCCUGGCAACGGGGACGGGCCCAAAAGGCAGUGGCGGCACCAUGUCUGGUCCUCGAGCGUAUGGGGCUUUGUCACCCGCUCCCGUAGGUCCAGCUGGCAGCUAGCCUCGCAACCAAUCUUUUUAACCAGGUUGACCUCGGAUCAGGUAGGGAUACCCGCUGAACUUAAGCAUAUCAAUAAGCGGAGGA